UUAAAAACAAUUCAGUACAUUACAAUUUCUCGUAGGAAUAUUGAGUUUGCAUUCCUCAACAACAGUAUCUAUUGACGAUGCAUAAAGAUACAUACAUACAAAAUUAAUUAAAAAGAAAGUCUCAUCCCUCUAAAAACAACACUCGUUUCCUCUCUCCCUGCAUGAAAGGAAGCAAGUUAGGGAAACGUAUCCACGUAAUGAAGAGACUUUUGGAUGUACCUAUGUGACUAAGUUCUACUCUUUGAACCAUCAGGACUACCAGCGCAGUCUCCACUUGAGACCUGUGAGCCCUGACCCGCUGUUAACCUGAGAGCUUACUGAAGCCCGAAUCAGCGAGAUGGAGGAGGAGGCCAGGUGCUUCUUGGAGAGGUUUGUGGAGGAGUUCCCGGCCGCUCUGGAGGAAGGCAGUCUGCUUCCUGUCAGACCCAUGAGCCGCAAAGUGUCCCUGGAGGAGCUGCAUGGAGAGAGUCUGGAGCUGGGCCUGAGGCUGCUUGCUGCCAGACCCUCCAAGAAGUCUACGCUCCAGUUCUUUUGGUGAGUGAAAUAUUAUUUUCCGUUAUACGUUAGCAUUAUUAGCAUGUUAACUAGC
Molecule: long non-coding RNA, 589 nt
Organism: Sander lucioperca (pikeperch)
Lineage: Eukaryota; Metazoa; Chordata; Actinopteri; Perciformes; Percidae
Exons: 3
Source: RefSeq, a predicted model, not a curated record